RNAcentral lists this ribosomal RNA (497 nucleotides) under uncultured bacterium. Its description in RNAcentral is "partial 16S ribosomal RNA". It matches the Rfam family "Bacterial small subunit ribosomal RNA", at positions 28 to 507 of the family's 1533-position model. The record is from RNAcentral.
GAUGAACGCUGGCGGCGUGCCUAAUACAUGCAAGUCGAGCGAACAGACGAGGAGCUUGCUCCUCUGACGUUAGCGGCGGACGGGUGAGUAACACGUGGAUAACCUACCUAUAAGACUGGGAUAACUUCGGGAAACCGGAGCUAAUACCGGAUAACAUGUUGAACCGCAUGGUUCAACAGUGAAAGACGGUUUUGCUGUCACUUAUAGAUGGAUCCGCGUCGCAUUAGCUAGUUGGUAAGGUAACGGCUUACCAAGGCAACGAUGCGUAGCCGACCUGAGAGGGUGAUCGGCCACACUGGAACUGAGACACGGUCCAGACUCCUACGGGAGGCAGCAGUAGGGAAUCUUCCGCAAUGGGCGAAAGCCUGACGGAGCAACGCCGCGUGAGUGAAAAAGGUCUUCGGAUCGUAAAACUCUGUUAUUAGGGAAGAACAAAUGUGUAAGUAACUAUGCACGUCUUGACGGUACCUAAUCAGAAAGCCACGGCUAACUACGUG